CUAAGGGACGAACGCUGGCGGCAUGCCUAACACAUGCAAGUCGAACGGGGGUAGCAAUACCCUAGUGGCGAACGGGUGAGUAACACAUAAGCAAUCUGCCCUUCACAGGGGGAUAACAGCGGGAAACUGCUGCUAAUACCGCAUAAGACCACGGUACCGCAUGGUACAGGGGUAAAAACGAAUCAGUGGUGAAGGAUGAGCUUAUGUCCCAUUAGCUAGUUGGUGAGAUAACAGCCCACCAAGGCGACGAUGGGUAGCCGACCUGAGAGGGUGAUCGGCCACACUGGAACUGAGACACGGUCCAGACUCCUACGGGAGGCAGCAGUGGGGAAUAUUGGGCAAUGGAGGAAACUCCUUACCCAGCAAUGCCGCGUGAGUGAAGAAGGUCUUCGGAUUGUAAAGCUCUUUGAUUGGGGACGAAGAAAGUGACGGUACCCAAAGAACAAGCCCCGGCUAACUACGUGCCAGCAGCUGC
This 475-nucleotide ribosomal RNA is filed under the name uncultured bacterium. Its description in RNAcentral is "bacterial SSU rRNA". It matches the Rfam family "Bacterial small subunit ribosomal RNA", at positions 27 to 518 of the family's 1533-position model. The record is from RNAcentral.